This 639-nucleotide long non-coding RNA is filed under the name Octopus vulgaris (common octopus). Lineage: Eukaryota; Metazoa; Mollusca; Cephalopoda; Octopoda; Octopodidae. The record is from RNAcentral.
AUCUAUCUAUCUUUCUAUCUAUCUAAUACAUAAUAUAUAUAUAUAUAUAUAUAUAUAUAUAUAGUGUGUGUGAUUUAAAUUGCAUGACAUAUAAUCAGUACUUAGAAAUCCAUGUGCAUCCUUAUAUUUCAAGAGAAAACUGCAAAGGGAACUUGUAUCAUAGUUCAAGUAUCCUUUCACUGGUUUCCAUAUUUAGGAGGAUCACGGUAUACAUAUAGAAAAAGCAAAAGUGGAGAGUAAUUUCAUAAAUUAAUAACGUUAACUAACACAUGUUUCAGUGAACAUUAUGGUUGAAUUAAGCAAUCCUGGCUAAGUAAAUUAUCUGGAUCCUUACUUCAUCAGUGAUUUGCAUAGGUUUUGUAUGAAUCUCUGUUGAAAUGAUGAACUAGAAAACUUAUCUGGUACAAAUUAUGUAAUUCAUGAACUGACUCUCCAGUUUUCUUUAUAUAUGUAUGUAGGUAGCUAUCUCUGUCUGCAUAUAUGUAUGUAUGUAUAUAUGCAUGUAUUUACUUACAGAUACACAUAUAAAUUAUAAAUAUGUAUGUUUUUAUGUAUGCAUGAAUAUUUGUAUGAAUGUAUGCAUGUGUAUAUCUAUCUAUCUGUCUGUCUGUCUAUAUAUAUAUAUAUAUAUAUAUAUAU